This 253-nucleotide ribosomal RNA is filed under the name uncultured bacterium. Its description in RNAcentral is "partial 16S ribosomal RNA". It matches the Rfam family "Bacterial small subunit ribosomal RNA", at positions 524 to 776 of the family's 1533-position model. The record is from RNAcentral.
UACAGAGGUCCCAAGCGUUGUUCGGAUUCAUUGGGCGUAAAGGGUGCGUAGGUGGCGUCGUAAGUCAGACGUGAAAUCCCUCGGCUUAACCGGGGAACUGCGUCUGAUACUGGAUGGCUUGAGUUCGGGAGAGGGAUGCGGAAUUCCAGGUGUAGCGGUGAAAUGCGUAGAUAUCUGGAGGAACACCGGUGGCGAAGGCGGCAUCCUGGACCGACACUGACGCUGAGGAGCGAAAGCCAGGGGAGCAAACGGG